UACGAAGGGGGCUAGCGUUGCUCGGAAUGCCUGGGCGUAAAGGGCGCGUAGGCGGCUUGCACAGUCAGGCGUGAAAUUCCUGGGCUCAACCUGGGGACUGCGCUUGAGACGUGUGGGCUUGAGUGGGGAAGAGGGUCGUGGAAUUCCCAGUGUAGAGGUGAAAUUCGUAGAUAUUGGGAAGAACACCAGUGGCGAAGGCGGCUCACUGGCCCGAUACUGACGCUGAGGCACGAAAGCGUGGGGAGCAAACAGG
RNAcentral lists this ribosomal RNA (253 nucleotides) under uncultured bacterium. Its description in RNAcentral is "partial 16S ribosomal RNA". It matches the Rfam family "Bacterial small subunit ribosomal RNA", at positions 524 to 776 of the family's 1533-position model. The record is from RNAcentral.